GCGGGUAUCGUAUAGUGGCAUUACCCAAGCUUCCCAAGCUUGAGAGAGGGGUUCGAUUCCCCUUACCCGCUCCA
This 74-nucleotide transfer RNA is filed under the name Kineobactrum sediminis. RNAcentral describes it as "tRNA-Gly". It matches the Rfam family "tRNA". Rfam says of the family: Transfer RNA (tRNA) molecules are approximately 80 nucleotides in length. Their secondary structure includes four short double-helical elements and three loops (D, anti-codon, and T loops). RNAcentral also lists the same sequence under 2 other names. The record is from RNAcentral. Lineage: Bacteria; Pseudomonadati; Pseudomonadota; Gammaproteobacteria; Cellvibrionales; Halieaceae.